Non-coding RNA from Oryza sativa Japonica Group (Japanese rice), 1400 nucleotides. The record is from RefSeq and is a predicted model, not a curated record. NCBI's taxonomy places the organism in Eukaryota, Viridiplantae, Streptophyta, Magnoliopsida, Poales, Poaceae.
GCGCGACCGCGCGCCUCUCUCGAGCACCUCCCGAUCCGAUCCGAUCCAGACCGGAUCGCUUCCCCUCCCCCUGGCAAAUCACCGCCCCCUCCACCCGGAUCCCUCGCUUCCGCGUCGCCGGUCUGCAUUCGCGCCGCCCCCGGUCAGCCCGUAUCGCCGGUCCCCAUCAUCGGCGGUGCCGCCCCCGGUCAGCCCGCAUCGCCGGUCCCCAUCAUCGGCGGCGCCGCCCCCGAUCCCCCUCGAUCUGCACUGCUCCCGACGAGUUUAACCCUUGCGCGGCUCUGCUGGAGUGUGAGUGCAAGAACAGCGCCGCCGCCGAGAACACGCUGCUCCGGGCGGGCUACGGUGGGUGGCUGCUCUACUCGGCGGCGUCGGCGGGGGACAUGGCGUUCGUGCAGGAGCUUAUGGACAGGGAUCCCUUGCUGGUGUUUGGCGAGGGCGAGCAUGGCGUGAUGGACAUGUUCUACGCCGCCGCGAGGGGCGGGAACGCCGAGGUGUUCAAGCUGCUGCUGGACCACGCCAUGUCGCCGAGGUGCUCGACGAAUUGUCCCAACGGGGAAGGCGCAGGAGCGGUGGUGGCUGCUCCUCGGUGUUCUGGCUGGAAAUGAUGAGUAGGGCAGUCCACGCCGCCGCGGGGGGCGGCAGCGUGGAGAUGCUGAGGGAGCUCAUCGAGCGUCGCUCCGACGUGUCGGAGUAUCUCGACUUCCGUGGAUCCACCGUGCUGUAUGCUGUUGCAGGUAGAGGGCAGCUAGAGUGUAUUAUGAAGGCAAAGAAUAAAUAUAAAGACCAUACUGAUUUGGCCUCUUUCACAUGGACUUCAAGUUGUGAAAUUCAUGACCGGAUUUUCUUUAGUAAUUUUAGUUAGAAGCAACCCAGCGCUUCCGACUGAGAUGGUUGUGCGACGACUGGUAGCGCCCAGCAGUUGAGUUCUUGCUGGACAACUGUGGGCGAAGCGGCAAAAUGGCUCACGAAGGCCAGCGGCGGCUGGAAAUUGACGAUGAAGAAGCGGUCAGUGGAAUUUCUCUUCUCCAUAGCCACUUAGCCUCUCCUUUCAAGAUAACUCUGUAUGCUUGAUGCCCCUCUAAUAAUAGCUUAGGAUUUUUUGAGGCAUCGAUAGCUGCAAUCAGUGCUCAUGUCAUCAUUCAAUGACCUGUAACAAUUUCGAAAGAACUAUGUUGGGCACCAGAUGAACCCAGGCAGAUGUUCUUUGGAUCGGUUUUUGUACACCACAAGGUUCUAUCUGCAGGAAAUUUAACAAAAAAUAAACUGGCCAACUAUAUUCGCUAUGCAAUGGAGUUUAUGGUGAAAGCUCAGUUGCUUUUUGUUCCAUGUAAUAUCCUUGAAUUGUAGUCUGAAACCAACUUCUUAAUAUAAUGGCAGAGCUCCAACCUUCAGAAAAA